CUAGUAACUGCGAGUGAAGAGGGAAAAGCUCAAAUUUAAAAUCUGGCAGUCUUUGAUUGUCCGAGUUGUAAUUUAGAGAAGUGUUACCCGUGUUGGACUGUGUAUAAGUUUCCUGGAAUGGAGCGUCAUAGAGGGUGAGAAUCCCGUCUUUGACACAGAUCCCAAUGCAUUGUGGUACGCUCUCAAAGAGUCGAGUUGUUUGGGAAUGCAGCUCUAAAUGGGUGGUAAAUUCCAUCUAAAGCUAAAUAUUGGGGAGAGACCGAUAGCGAACAAGUACCGUGAGGGAAAGAUGAAAAGAACUUUGGAAAGAGAGUUAAACAGUACGUGAAAUUGCUGAAAGGGAAACGCUUGAAGUCAGUCGCGUUGGUCAGGGAUCAGCCUUCCUUUUGGUUGGUGUAUUUCUUGAUUAACGGGUCAACAUCAGUUUUGAUCAGUGGAUAAAAGCUUGAGGAAUGUGGCAUCUCCGGGUGUGUUAUAGCCUCUUGUUGUAUACAUUGAUUGGGACUGAGGAUCUCAGCACGCCGCAAGGCCGGGUUUUUAACCACGUUCGUGCUUAGGAUGUUGGCAUAAUGGCUUUAAUCGACCCGUCUUGAAACACGGACCAAGGAGUCUAACAUGCCUGCGAGUGUUUGGGUGGAAAACCCGAGCGCGUAAUGAAAGUGAAAAUUAGGAUCUCUGUCGUGGAGAGCACUGAUGCCCGGCCCAGAUCUUCUGUGACGGUGCCGCGGUUGAGCAUGUAUGUUGGGACCCGAAAGAUGGUGAACUAUGCCUGAAUAGGGUGAAGCCAGAGGAAACUCUGGUGGAGGCUCGUAGCGAUUCUGACGUGCAAAUCGAUCGUCGAAUUUGGGUAUAGGGCGAAAGACUAAUC
This 868-nucleotide ribosomal RNA is filed under the name Lentinula madagasikarensis. RNAcentral's name for it is "partial large subunit ribosomal RNA". It matches the Rfam family "Eukaryotic large subunit ribosomal RNA", at positions 80 to 936 of the family's 3401-position model. The record is from RNAcentral. Lineage: Eukaryota; Fungi; Basidiomycota; Agaricomycetes; Agaricales; Omphalotaceae.